Molecule: ribosomal RNA, 251 nt
Filed under: uncultured prokaryote
Description: partial 16S rRNA
Rfam family: Bacterial small subunit ribosomal RNA
Source: RNAcentral
ACGUAAGGGGCAAGCGUUGUUCGGAAUUAUUGGGCGUAAAGGGUACGUAGGCGGUUGAGUAAGCCCGGCGUGAAAUCCUACAGCUUAACUGUAGGGCUGCGCUGGGAACUGCACAACUUGAGUCAUGGAAGGGAAGUUAGAAUUCCAGGUGUAGGGGUGAAAUCUGUAGAUAUCUGGAAGAAUACCGGUGGCGAAGGCGAACUUCUGGCCAAUGACUGACGCUGAGGUACGAAAGUGCGGGGAGCAAACAG